UGCUUAAUACAUGCAAGUCGAGCGAGAAAGGGGAGCAAUCCCCGAGUAAAGCGGCAGACGGGUGAGUAACACGUGGGCAAUCUACCCUCGAGUGGGGAAUAACAUCUCGAAAGAGGUGCUAAUACCGCAUGACAUCAAGACGUCCUAGGGCGUUUUGAUCAAAAAGGUGGCUCUUCGGAGCUGCCACUCCCAGAGGAGUCCGCGGUGGAUUAGCUAGUUGGUGGGGUAAUGGCCUACCAAGGCGACGAUCUAUAGCCGGCCUGAGAGGGCGAUCGGCCACACUGGUACUGAGACACGGACCAGACUCCUACGGGAGGCAGCAGUGGGGAAUAUUGGACAAUGGGCGAAAGCCUGAUCCAGCAACGCCGCGUGGAGGAUGAAUGUCUUCGGAUUGUAAACUCCUGUCAGGUGCCACGAAAAACUCCUGUCAGGUGGGACGAAAACACUGACGGUACCACCAGAGGAAGCCCCGGCUAACUCCGUGCCAGCAGCCGCGGUAAUACGGAGGGGGCGAGCGUUAUUCGGAAUUAUUGGGCGUAAAGGGCGCGUAGGCGGCCUGACAAGUCAGGGGUGAAAUCCCUCGGCUCAACCGAGGAACUGCCUCUGAAACUGUCAGGCUUGAGGCCGGGAGAGGGUAGUGGAAUUCCCAGUGUAGCGGUGAAAUGCGUAGAUAUUGGGAGGAACACCAGUGGCGAAGGCGACUACCUGGACCGGUUCUGACGCUGAGGCGCGAAAGUGUGGGUAGCAAACAGGAUUAGAUACCCUGGUAGUCCACACUGUAAACGAUGAGCACUCGGUGCUGCGGGUGUCGACCCCUGCAGUGCCUUAGGAAACGCAUUAAGCGCUCCGCCUGGGGAGUACGGUCGCAAGGCUGAAACUCAAAGGAAUUGACGGGGGCCCGCACAAGCGGUGGAGCAUGUGGUUUAAUUCGACGCAACGCGAAGAACCUUACCUGGGUUUGAACUGCAGGUGACCGCCUCAGAAAUGAGGUUUUCCUUCGGGACACCUGUAGAGGUGCUGCAUGGCUGUCGUCAGCUCGUGUCGUGAGAUGUUGGGUUAAGUCCCGCAACGAGCGCAACCCUCGUCCCUAGUUGCCAGCGGGUAAUGCCGGGAACUCUAGGGAGACUGCCCCGGAAAACGGGGAGGAAGGUGGGGAUGACGUCAAGUCCUCAUGGCCUUUAUGUCCAGGGCUACACACGUGCUACAAUGGGCGGUACAAAGGGUUGCGAUGCCGCAAGGUGGAGCCAAUCCCAAAAAGCCGUCCUCAGUUCGGAUUGCAGUCUGCAACUCGACUGCAUGAAGUUGGAAUCGCUAGUAAUCGCGGAUCAGCACGCCGCGGUGAAUACGUUCCCGGGCCUUGUACACACCGCCCGUCACA
This 1378-nucleotide ribosomal RNA is filed under the name uncultured prokaryote. RNAcentral's name for it is "partial 16S ribosomal RNA". It matches the Rfam family "Bacterial small subunit ribosomal RNA", at positions 45 to 1401 of the family's 1533-position model. The record is from RNAcentral.